GAUGAACGCUGGCGGCGUGCCUAAUACAUGCAAGUCGAGCGAACGGACGAGAAGCUUGCUUCUCUGAUGUUAGCGGCGAACGGGUGAGUAACACGUGGAUAACCUGCCUAUAAGACUGGGAUAACUUCGGGAAACCGUAGCUAAUACCGGAUAAUAAUUUGAACCGCAUGGUUCAAAAGUGAAAGACGGUCUUGCUGUCACUUAUGGAUGGAUCCGCGCUGCAUUAGCUAGUUGGUAAGGUAACGGCUUACCAAGGCAACGAUGCAUAGCCGACCUGAGAGGGUGAUCGGCCACACUGGAACUGAGACACGGUCCAGACUCCUACGGGAGGCAGCAGUAGGGAAUCUUCCGCAAUGGGCGAAAGCCUGACGGAGCAACGCCGCGUGAGUGAUGAAGGUCUUCGGAUCGUAAAACUCUGUUAUUAGGGAAGAACAUAUGUGUAAGUAACUGUGCCCAUCUUGACGGUACCUAAUCAGAAAGCCACGGCUAACUACGUG
RNAcentral lists this ribosomal RNA (497 nucleotides) under uncultured bacterium. RNAcentral describes it as "partial 16S ribosomal RNA". It matches the Rfam family "Bacterial small subunit ribosomal RNA", at positions 28 to 507 of the family's 1533-position model. The record is from RNAcentral.